Molecule: ribosomal RNA, 253 nt
Filed under: uncultured bacterium
Lineage: Bacteria
Description: partial 16S ribosomal RNA
Rfam family: Bacterial small subunit ribosomal RNA
Source: RNAcentral
UACGGGGGGGGCAAGCGUUGUUCGGAAUUACUGGGCGUAAAGGGCUCGUAGGCGGCCAACUAAGUCGGAUGUGAAAUCCCCAGGCUUAACCUGGGAACUGCAUCCGAUACUGGAUGGCUUGAAUUCGGGAGAGGGAUGCAGAAUUCCAGGUGUAGCGGUGAAAUGCGUAGAUAUCUGGAGGAACACCGGUGGCGAAGGCGGCAUCCUGGACCGACACUGACGCUGAGGAGCGAAAGCCAGGGGAGCAAACGGG